This 468-nucleotide ribosomal RNA is filed under the name uncultured bacterium. RNAcentral's name for it is "partial 16S ribosomal RNA". It matches the Rfam family "Bacterial small subunit ribosomal RNA", at positions 28 to 507 of the family's 1533-position model. The record is from RNAcentral.
GACGAACGCUGGCGGCGUGCUUAACACAUGCAAGUCGAACGGAAAGGCCCUGCUUUUGUGGGGUGCUCGAGUGGCGAACGGGUGAGUAACACGUGAGUAACCUGCCCUUGACUUUGGGAUAACUUCAGGAAACUGGGGCUAAUACCGGAUAGGAGCUCCUGCUGCAUGGUGGGGGUUGGAAAGUUUCGGCGGUUGGGGAUGGACUCGCGGCUUAUCAGCUUGUUGGUGGGGUAGUGGCUUACCAAGGCUUUGACGGGUAGCCGGCCUGAGAGGGUGACCGGCCACAUUGGGACUGAGGUACGGACCAGACUGCUACGGGAGGCAGCAGGGGGGAAUAUUGCACAAUGGGCGGAAGCCUGAUGCAGCAACGCCGCGUGCGGGAUGACGGCCUUCGGGUUGUAAACCGCUUUUGCCUGUGACGAAGCGUGAGUGACGGUAAUGGGUAAAGAAGCACCGGCUAACUACGUG